CUCUGGGUCCCGCCAGACUUUCCCGCUUAACCGCGUGGCAGAGGAAGCCCAGCGUGGCCCAUGACGGCGAAGCCGCUGGGCCUUGGAGGUGAGCGAGCAGCAGCCCCUGAGCUGUUUCCAACAUUCCUGCUCUUGAAGUUUUAACAAAGGGAAACCGUCCCCGGAAGAAGACAGUUGCAGAAGAGGCUCCGUCUGCGAAACGUUUAGGAGCUCUGGGGGGAAGAGCCCAGACGUGCAGCGGGCGGGGCUUGCUGAGUCAGCUGCGAAAAUGUGAAGUUGGGCAGCUAAAUAAAGGCCAAGCUAAGGAAUAAGCGCAGCUCGGGGAAAGCCCGUGGAGCCAGACCCGGCCAGCCGGCACGAAGGUGGCAGCCACAGUGCAGAGGACGUGCUUCCACGGCGUGCCUGGGUGAGGUUUCAGGGGGCUGCUCCCUGGUCAUCCGUGAUUUCCCGUGAGCAGAUCGAUUCUGGGCUGACCCGCGGGCUGCAGGCUACGUGGACAUUCCUGAGGUGACCAGAGAGGCCCCAGACGGAUGAGCAGGGGCGGCUGGUGUGGUGGGGACAGGACGUGUCCGAGGCUCAGGGACCAGCACUUCCCGGGGCGGAGGGCCCCCCACCCCAGCCCUGGCGGCCCCAGGAAGGGCAAUGGCGAGGCCUCAUCCCCCAUGGGCGGUGGGGCCUGGCCCCCAGACUAGGGGCGAGAACCUGCUUCCAGGAGGAAUUUCUGCUCAACGCUCGGUGGGUCGUAAAGCCCCAGCCUGGCCUGCCGCGGGCUUGAGUCACUGACCUUCCCUCCUUUCAGUCCGAAGGCACCCGCGUCGCCCUUGGGCCCAAGGGGUCCUUGGAUGCCCUGGGGAGAGGACGCAGAGUCAGACCACAUUCUGAAACCGCAGCCACUGGGCUGCACACACGUGAGCGACAAGCCAGAAGGGCAGGUCUGCACGUGGUGUGGCCCGUGCGACUUCUUAGCGUGUCAGCAGGAGGGCUGAGGCAACUCCACUCUUGACGACUUAGUCUUAAAAUGUCGGUGAGAGAAAGCGACUUACAUCGAAUCCGGGCGAGCCCUUGCAGCCUGGCAGGCCAGGGUACCCCGUCUCCCCCUGCAAGGAGGAAGGCGGGUUCGGUGAUCAAGCCUUUCAGCACUGGCCCAUCCACCCGCUUCCCAAGAAAGCCCCACCCGGCAGAAGGAGCUCUGAGCUUGGCCAGGUGGCUUGGGGUCCACUGGGACCUGGGGCUUGGCAGGAAACGUCUCCUGCCUUUCAUGCUGCCCAGGGGUGGCCACACAUGAGACCCCUCCCCACCCACCGGCCCUGGGGUGGCCAGCCUUGCCCACCGUCCCUUCCUGAAACACGGGCCCCGCCUCCAGCGCUCCCCCAGCUGAGGGUGACCUUCAUGCCAUCCACGCCGUCCACGCCACGCUUCCCCUUCUCGCCCUGCAAAGUGCAAAAGCCAGAGAAGGCCAGACCAACGUCAGACCGCACCCCACAGGGAGGCGCCCCGCCGGCCGCGCCCCUCCGGCCACACUCACCUUGCAGCCCUUGGGUCCCCUGGAGCCCUGAGGAGACAGGAAGGAAGGGUGAGAGGCUUGGCCUCCCCAGCAUGGGGCGAGGUCCCCAAGGAGGGCGCCUCCCCACCACCCAGCUCAUCGCAGCCCAGCCACGCCGGGAACAGGCAGCAUCGCCCCUGUCCAGAGUAGGGGGCCGCCCUGUGCCCCGAGGGACACCCCCCAAAGUCUCACGUCACUCACCUUCUCCCCUCGGCUCCCUUUUUCUCCCUAGACAGCAAACAGGGGAGGGAAGGGGGCUGUGAGGGGCGCCCCAGGCCGGAUGCCCUGAGGCCCCAGGAAAGGCUGUGGUAGAGGAGGGGGAGACGCACCUUCAUGCCCUGGUAGCCGACGGGUCCGAGGUCCCCAGGCCUUCCCUGCAACAGAGGAAGGGGUGGGUUAGACACCCGUGGGGGCAGGGGCAGCCCCCAUCCAACCCGCUUGCUCUCCACGCUACUCAGGCCCGGUCAGCUGGAGAGACCUGGCUGGCUGACCACUGACCUGCGUCUGAGAAGCGCCCUGCUAUGAAGGCCUCACCCACCCCUCCCGGGGGCUCUCAGCGGAGCUCCAGGGAGGCGGAGGCCCAGAGCCCCCCACGGGGCCACGGGGGAGGGGAAACUGGCCGUGGCUGAAGCAGAGGCCCUGGGACUUUGCUGGCCGCCCCCUGCCCCCGCCUUCUGAGAGCAGGUGGGCCUGUGGGGGCGCCUGAGGGGCACGGGGGCUCUUCCCGGGCGGGGGCUGCUGGAAGGACGGCUAUGCCGCGUGCGCCCUGGUCCUCGCCACCACGAGGGCCGUGUCCUCUGAGGGUCAGGCCACAUGGCGAUGGUGCUCAGAAGCCAGCCAUCCUUCUGGAAGCUUCCGCAGCCCAGUUCCCUGGGCUCGGGCUUCUCAGCGCCCCCAUCCCCCAGUCAGGGCUCGGCACUCACGGGGUCUCCGGCGUCUCCUUUCUCUCCCGGGAGCCCUGGCUUCCCUCUUUCUCCCUGGAAUACAGAGCAGAUCAAGGUUAGACGACAAAUUCCAUUUAUUUCUAAAAAGCUGGUGAGAAGGACCCUCUACUUGCGAACAAAAAAGGUCCAAAAAGCUAUUCCAUCCGGUCCCUAGUGUUCAUGUGAUUUUCAGGCACCUUCCUCGUGGCCCAUCCUGGGACCUGCGUGGUCAGGUCCACGCUCCCCUCCCACACACCCCACCGGGCCCUGGGGCUGCCCGGCGCCGGCUGGAGUGACCCCUGAAUCUUUUCUCUCCGCCCAUUCUUGCUGCUGGGGCGGGCGGGGUGGGUGGGGCGCAGAAGCCCCCCGGAGGAGGUAGCCGUGUGGCUCCACGGCUACUGCACCUGACACUUUCUAGGAAAAGCCAGAAAUGUGGACUUUCACAAGCAAGAUCCCAGGUUGUGAAUACUGGGAACUAACUUUGUUCUCCAAAACCUCCGCACGAAGCAGUCGUGGCCUUGGGCCAUGUUCACCCGUCCCAUGGAGGGUCCGCCUCCAGCAGCGAAGCCACAGGGGUGGUCACUCCAGAAAGGCCGCUCCCUCCCCCAUGGGGAAGAGGCCGGAGCGGCGGGCCCCACCCCACGGCAGCCCGUGGCCGCCACAUCGGCGUGGGGUCACGGCGCCUGGACUCUCUCCCGCGCUGGGGCACCUGCUCAGCACAGCAGGUGGGCGGUGAGCGCUCAGGACGGCUGCCUGGGGUCCAGCGCAUCCCUAACACCUGGGUGCCAGGCAGCAGGGACAUUUCUCCCAGGCUUCCCCCCCACCCCAAGGAGGAAAGCACGGACAGGACGCGGCCACUCACCUCAUACCCGGGGUCGCCCCGCAGCCCGGGAGGUCCUCUGGCGGGCUGCAAGACACAAGAGAACGGCGCGGGAUCUCCGGCAUCUUGGACACGGCGGGGAGGGCGGGGCCGCGCUCACGAUCAUGUCCGUGAUGGUGUCGAUGGUCUGGCUGAUGACGGCCUCCGCGUCGCGGCUCUGCCCCCAGUCGGCCGCCGUGAAGUUGCGCCUGUACGUGUGGUCCGUGGCGAUGAUGCUCAGACGUGGCUCCUGGCGUGGAUGCGACCAGAACAAGGGCGAACGUUGGUGACGGUGGGAGCCCCUGCAGGGGGUGAGAGAGGUGAGACCACCCAGCCGGGCCCCUCAGGCCAGCACUGACCCUGACAGCUCAGGGCCCCACUGGAACCGCAGAGCUGAGACCCCUAGACUGGAGGUAAGGGUCAGGGGGCUAGAAACCCUGGAGAGAGACCCAGACCCAAGGCAACGUUUCCUGUUUCUCUGUGUUGAUCUGGCCACAAGUGGGAUCAUAGGAAAGGACAUUACACAGGAAAUAAAGCUCUGUGGGAUCUCAUUUCAGGCCCCCUCUGCCUUCAGUGGUUGAGACGACAGUGGGCCGCUGGAGGGAAGGACAGAGGGGUGGAGAGCGCCCCUGGCGGCCAUGGGGCAGGCUGGGCGGUGGUCAGCAGCACGACCCCCUCGGCCACCGGGACUGGUCCUGGGGACCUUGGACAGCCCUGGAGUGUGGCCGACCAGGCUGCGAUCAGGGAGGUGCGGCAGGCGGGCGCUCACCCCACG
Molecule: long non-coding RNA, 4100 nt
Organism: Orcinus orca (killer whale)
Lineage: Eukaryota; Metazoa; Chordata; Mammalia; Artiodactyla; Delphinidae
Exons: 4
Source: RefSeq, a predicted model, not a curated record